Molecule: non-coding RNA, 1586 nt
Organism: Delphinapterus leucas (beluga whale)
Lineage: Eukaryota; Metazoa; Chordata; Mammalia; Artiodactyla; Monodontidae
Source: RefSeq, a predicted model, not a curated record
GUCUGUAUCUUUUUUGUCAUAUUCACUAGCUUGUUUCAUUUUUUAGAUUCCACAUAUAAGUGAUAUCAUACAGAAGCACCCCAUACUUGGCGUUCUUAAGAGGAAAGGUACUCUAUGACAAUAAUGUUGAUAAAAAGUGUGCUGCCUUAAACCUAGAUACAAUGUAAUAAUAGCUUUCACUUUAUCUUUUGAUUUUCACAAUAAACUUACUUGAAUUUCACAAUAAAUUAUUCCACUCAUGAAGAUGCUGAGGCACAGAGAUGUCUUCUAGAGCCAACGGUGACAUCCAUCGUUCCAUUACCUUGCGAGUGGACCUUAAGGUUGGGGUCCUGCUUUUCCAACUGGCCAUUGAAGAAUCUGCAUGGCUGAUUUGACCUCACCAAGGAGACGGGGUGUGGUGUUUGAAUUUCUUCACUCUCUCGUCUGCCCAAGCUCUCACAGAACUAGAUCUGGAACUGGAACGCGAGCCAACCACGAGGGUGGCAGUCUUCCUGCCCAUCUACGUGAGACUUAAAGGCCAACCUUAGAGGGACCUGCUGUUUCUCCUCCAAGAAAUUGUUCUGCGUCUAGAGACACAUGUGUUCCAUUUUAAUUAGAAACCAGUGGGGCACUGGGCCGGCUGGCUAACAGCUCAGGCCAUGCUGGAAACCAGAGGGCUGAGUGGAGGCCAGGACGUCUGAGCAUAUCUUCAGGGCUUUCUUCCCACCUGCUGCUUGUGGAGGCGUUCUGGCACUUUCCACGCACCCGUCACUGCACAUCCUCCACCCCGUCUGCACUCCCAUCACCAUUAUCCUCACCUGCCAUGGGGCCGGGACGUGGCAGUGUAUUAGUUGUCACAUAUGAGAGAAAACCAGCCCAAGAUGACGGUGGGUACAGCCCCACAAGACCGUCAGAGCCUGGUGUCCGGGCUCCUGGUCCCGUGCUCUCAUGCCACCCUCAGUAGCAAGCACUCAGAGUCAGACGCCCAAAGAGAGAAACAUUCCUCUGAGGACCACUGUGAGGGGGCACCCGCCCCCGCAAAACUAUGGACCAGCCAAAGCACUGGUGGUUCCUAACAAAUUGAACUGCGUGAGCAUUUACGAACUACCCCAUUUUUUACGAGCAUCUCACCUGGUUCAUCACCCUGGGAACACACUUUGGAGAGACGGUAAAAGGAGUGGAGGUAAGCAAGAGUUCGCAUUCCUCUCCGAGCUUCGGACCAGAAUCUGGCUUAGAGAAGGUGAGCUGGCCUCAGCACUGCCCUGGCAGCAGGACUCCAAGUGCCCACAGUGGGUACCAGCCACUCUACCUGGGGGAUGGUGAGUGUCCGGAAGGGGAGGGCAUUUCCUGUACUUCCCUGACUGUGGUCGGCUGGAAAGCCUAGGCUGGUGGCCACUUAGAAGAGUCUUAACAGCGUCAGAGUUUCAUUUUGGGUUUGAAACACUGUACAAGGCCACCUUUUAAUAGUCACAAUGCCGCCUGUGACACAGCACGGGGUGUGUGUCAUCUGAGGAGGAAGCGUGCUCUCUCCCCGCAGUCCAGGGCCGUGGCAUUUCCUCUCUUCAGUGUGUUUUUCUUGCCAGCAACAACUAAGCCCAAGGCCACCA